UUCCUCCUUUUGCGCUGGAUUGUUUGAUAAUGGAGGGGUGAAAUUGGCGGGGAGAGGAGGGAAAAUUAUAUGGCAGCAAAAUGGGAGGGAAUUUCGCUGCCUGUGGAGAUUGCAAGAGGCGGAGGGGACGAGUGGAAUGGGAAAUUGCACGUUUAACCGGUGGUCCUCGGUAAAAUUCCGGCCGGCCGCCUGACCGCAGCAAACUGCACAGGACGCCGGUGAGCAGGAUCAAAGUGUCCAGAAAUGGAGAGUUCCACAUUUGAAUGAUCGAGGAUCAUGGCCAUCAGGAUAUUGAGUUUGAUCACGCAAUUCGACGUAUUGGAGGUUGCUGCAGAGGAGACGAGCAACCACUUGAACAAUUGGGUAGCACAGGAACUAGAAAUUACCCAAAACCGAAGCUUGAGAUAAUAUACAAGGCAAUCAAGCAGUCAAAAAUGGAGAUUGACUGCAGUAAAU
Long non-coding RNA from Momordica charantia (bitter melon), 456 nucleotides. RefSeq lists it as uncharacterized. Lineage: Eukaryota; Viridiplantae; Streptophyta; Magnoliopsida; Cucurbitales; Cucurbitaceae. The record is from RefSeq and is a predicted model, not a curated record.